Molecule: ribosomal RNA, 2230 nt
Filed under: Shigella sonnei
Lineage: Bacteria; Pseudomonadati; Pseudomonadota; Gammaproteobacteria; Enterobacterales; Enterobacteriaceae
Description: partial 23S ribosomal RNA
Rfam family: Bacterial large subunit ribosomal RNA
Source: RNAcentral
UCCUGACUGACCGAUAGUGAACCAGUACCGUGAGGGAAAGGCGAAAAGAACCCCGGCGAGGGGAGUGAAAAAGAACCUGAAACCGUGUACGUACAAGCAGUGGGAGCACGCUUAGGCGUGUGACUGCGUACCUUUUGUAUAAUGGGUCAGCGACUUAUAUUCUGUAGCAAGGUUAACCGAAUAGGGGAGCCGAAGGGAAACCGAGUCUUAACUGGGCGUUAAGUUGCAGGGUAUAGACCCGAAACCCGGUGAUCUAGCCAUGGGCAGGUUGAAGGUUGGGUAACACUAACUGGAGGACCGAACCGACUAAUGUUGAAAAAUUAGCGGAUGACUUGUGGCUGGGGGUGAAAGGCCAAUCAAACCGGGAGAUAGCUGGUUCUCCCCGAAAGCUAUUUAGGUAGCGCCUCGUGAAUUCAUCUCCGGGGGUAGAGCACUGUUUCGGCAAGGGGGUCAUCCCGACUUACCAACCCGAUGCAAACUGCGAAUACCGGAGAAUGUUAUCACGGGAGACACACGGCGGGUGCUAACGUCCGUCGUGAAGAGGGAAACAACCCAGACCGCCAGCUAAGGUCCCAAAGUCAUGGUUAAGUGGGAAACGAUGUGGGAAGGCCCAGACAGCCAGGAUGUUGGCUUAGAAGCAGCCAUCAUUUAAAGAAAGCGUAAUAGCUCACUGGUCGAGUCGGCCUGCGCGGAAGAUGUAACGGGGCUAAACCAUGCACCGAAGCUGCGGCAGCGACGCUUAUGCGUUGUUGGGUAGGGGAGCGUUCUGUAAGCCUGCGAAGGUGUGCUGUGAGGCAUGCUGGAGGUAUCAGAAGUGCGAAUGCUGACAUAAGUAACGAUAAAGCGGGUGAAAAGCCCGCUCGCCGGAAGACCAAGGGUUCCUGUCCAACGUUAAUCGGGGCAGGGUGAGUCGACCCCUAAGGCGAGGCCGAAAGGCGUAGUCGAUGGGAAACAGGUUAAUAUUCCUGUACUUGGUGUUACUGCGAAGGGGGGACGGAGAAGGCUAUGUUGGCCGGGCGACGGUUGUCCCGGUUUAAGCGUGUAGGCUGGUUUUCCAGGCAAAUCCGGAAAAUCAAGGCUGAGGCGUGAUGACGAGGCACUACGGUGCUGAAGCAACAAAUGCCCUGCUUCCAGGAAAAGCCUCUAAGCAUCAGGUAACAUCAAAUCGUACCCCAAACCGACACAGGUGGUCAGGUAGAGAAUACCAAGGCGCUUGAGAGAACUCGGGUGAAGGAACUAGGCAAAAUGGUGCCGUAACUUCGGGAGAAGGCACGCUGAUAUGUAGGUGAAGUCCCUUGCGGAUGGAGCUGAAAUCAGUCGAAGAUACCAGCUGGCUGCAACUGUUUAUUAAAAACACAGCACUGUGCAAACACGAAAGUGGACGUAUACGGUGUGACGCCUGCCCGGUGCCGGAAGGUUAAUUGAUGGGGUCAGCGCAAGCGAAGCUCUUGAUCGAAGCCCCGGUAAACGGCGGCCGUAACUAUAACGGUCCUAAGGUAGCGAAAUUCCUUGUCGGGUAAGUUCCGACCUGCACGAAUGGCGUAAUGAUGGCCAGGCUGUCUCCACCCGAGACUCAGUGAAAUUGAACUCGCUGUGAAGAUGCAGUGUACCCGCGGCAAGACGGAAAGACCCCGUGAACCUUUACUAUAGCUUGACACUGAACAUUGAGCCUUGAUGUGUAGGAUAGGUGGGAGGCUUUGAAGUGUGGACGCCAGUCUGCAUGGAGCCGGCCUUGAAAUACCACCCUUUAAUGUUUGAUGUUCUAACGUGGACCCGUGAUCCGGGUUGCGGACAGUGUCUGGUGGGUAGUUUGACUGGGGCGGUCUCCUCCUAAAGAGUAACGGAGGAGCACGAAGGUUGGCUAAUCCUGGUCGGACAUCAGGAGGUUAGUGCAAUGGCAUAAGCCAGCUUGACUGCGAGCGUGACGGCGCGAGCAGGUGCGAAAGCAGGUCAUAGUGAUCCGGUGGUUCUGAAUGGAAGGGCCAUCGCUCAACGGAUAAAAGGUACUCCGGGGAUAACAGGCUGAUACCGCCCAAGAGUUCAUAUCGACGGCGGUGUUUGGCACCUCGAUGUCGGCUCAUCACAUCCUGGGGCUGAAGUAGGUCCCAAGGGUAUGGCUGUUCGCCAUUUAAAGUGGUACGCGAGCUGGGUUUAGAACGUCGUGAGACAGUUCGGUCCCUAUCUGCCGUGGGCGCUGGAGAACUGAGGGGGGCUGCUCCUAGUACGAGAG